CGCGGCCUAUCAGCUUGUUGGUGAGGUAACGGCUCACCAAGGCGAUGACGGGUAGCUGGCGUGAGAGCGCGACCAGCCACACUGGGACUGAGACACGGCCCAGACUUCUACGGAAGGCAGCAGUAGGGAAUCUUGCGCAAUGGGCGAAAGCCUGACGCAGCGACGCCGCGUGCGGGAUGACGGCCCUAGUGGUUGUAAACCGCUUUCAGCAGGGACGAAAAUGACGGUACCUGCAGAAGAAGUCCCGGCUAACUACGUGCCAGCAGCCGCGGUAAUACGUAGGGGACAAGCGUUGUCCGGAUUCAUUGGGCGUAAAGAGCUCGUAGGCGGUUCAGUAAGUUGGGUGUGAAAGCUCCGGGCUCAACCCGGAGAGGCCACUCAAUACUGCUGUGACUAGAGUCCAGUAGAGGAGCGUGGAACUCCUGGUGUAGCGGUGAAAUGCGCAGAUAUCAGGAAGAACACCGGCAGCGAAGGCGGCGCUCUGGGCUGGUACUGACGCUGAGGAGCGAAAGCAUGGGUAGCAAACAGGAUUUGAUACCCUGGUAGUCCAUGCCGUAAACGUUGGGCACUAGGUGUGGGGAGGAAUCAACCCUCUCCGUGCCGUAGCUAACGCAUUAAGUGCCCCGCCUGGGGAGUACGG
RNAcentral lists this ribosomal RNA (640 nucleotides) under uncultured bacterium. RNAcentral describes it as "bacterial SSU rRNA". It matches the Rfam family "Bacterial small subunit ribosomal RNA", at positions 232 to 885 of the family's 1533-position model. The record is from RNAcentral.